This 543-nucleotide ribosomal RNA is filed under the name uncultured Gallionellaceae bacterium. Its description in RNAcentral is "bacterial SSU rRNA". It matches the Rfam family "Bacterial small subunit ribosomal RNA", at positions 135 to 671 of the family's 1533-position model. Lineage: Bacteria; Pseudomonadati; Pseudomonadota; Betaproteobacteria; Nitrosomonadales; Gallionellaceae. The record is from RNAcentral.
AGUGGGGGAUAGCUCGGCGAAAGCCGGAUUAAUACCGCAUAUGCCCUGAGGGGGAAAGGAGGGGAUCCGCAAGGACCUUUCGCUUUCGGAGUGGCCGAUAUCGGAUUAGCUAGUUGGUGGGGUAAAGGCUUACCAAGGCGACGAUCCGUAGCUGGUCUGAGAGGACGACCAGCCACACUGGAACUGAGACACGGUCCAGACUCCUACGGGAGGCAGCAGUGGGGAAUUUUGGACAAUGGGGGCAACCCUGAUCCAGCCAUGCCGCGUGAGUGAAGAAGGCCUUCGGGUUGUAAAGCUCUUUCAGACGGAAAGAAACGGUCACGGCCAAUACCCGUGACUAAUGACGGUACCGUCAGAAGAAGCACCGGCUAACUACGUGCCAGCAGCCGCGGUAAUACGUAGGGUGCGAGCGUUAAUCGGAAUUACUGGGCGUAAAGCGUGCGCAGGCGGUUUUGUAAGACAGACGUGAAAUCCCCGGGCUUAACCUGGGAACUGCGUUUGUGACUGCAAGACUAGAGUGCGGCAGAGGGGGGUAGAAUUCCA